UACGUAGGGACCAAGCGUUGUUCGGAUUUACUGGGCGUAAAGGGCGCGUAGGCGGCAAUUCAAGUCAUCUGUGAAAUCCCUCGGCUUAACCGGGGAACUGCGUCCGAUACUGGAGGGCUUGAGUGUGGGAGAGGGAUGCGGAAUUCCAGGUGUAGCGGUGAAAUGCGUAGAUAUCUGGAGGAACACCGGUGGCGAAGGCGGCAUCCUGGACCAUGACUGACGCUGAGGAGCGAAAGCCAGGGGAGCAAACGGG
RNAcentral lists this ribosomal RNA (253 nucleotides) under uncultured bacterium. Its description in RNAcentral is "partial 16S ribosomal RNA". It matches the Rfam family "Bacterial small subunit ribosomal RNA", at positions 524 to 776 of the family's 1533-position model. The record is from RNAcentral.